ACAGCUUCAUCAUGUCGUGCAGCGACUCGGGGCAGCCCUGCGGGCAUGGCAUGCGGUAGCCGCGCUCCACCUGCUCCAGGACUUCACGGUUCACCAUACCUGCAGGGAAAGCCAGCCCAUCACCCGAUUGGUGAGGUUUGCCCGUCUUAGCCAUCUAAGCUCUCUCCACUCCUUUCAGCUCAGUGCGUCACUAAUAUCAGUCAUUCUUUGCAGAGGAGACGUCGCAUGAAUCACUUGGACAGCGCCCCACCACCACCUAUCCCCACCGCCCGCACUCCGCUUAUUAGCGACAUCCAUACAAAUGAAGCGGACCGGCCAGACGGAAGGACAAACAGACGGACGAGCUCCAGUGGGACUCGAUGUCGUGGGCACCUCCCCCGCCCGCCCUCCCACCUUGGCGACCAUAAAAAGAAGCCCAAAGCAAGAGCAGAAGUAGGGACACGCACACUCCCAAAAAGUUGUCUGUCACGCAAAUGUUUGGAGGAGGACACUGCCACGCCACGGAGGACACCAGACACCCACAAGAAGAAGAAGAAGAAGGAGGAGAGGGAGAGGAGGAGGAGGAGGGGGAGGCAAGAGGAAGAGGCGCUUGCAUCUCACGCCUGCGUGCACACGGGCUCUUCCACCACAAAAUGUCCAGCAAAGCGACGCUCGCCUUGCUCAUCUAUGGCAUCUUCAUGCGCCACGGCAGCGGCAGCGGAUCGCACCUGGGGCUCGCCUUUCCCCAAGUCACACUUGAGGGCGAAUUGUACGACGGAGACGGGAACUCGCUGCCGUCUUUGGAUUACGACGGGCAGCAGCUUCAGGUGAGAACUCCAUCCAUGGGGACGCAAGACCACGACGUCUUCUCCUUGUAUUACCCGCCGCCCGACAAAAGGACGGAAAGGCACGCAGACGGCAUGUUCAACAAAGCGUACAGGACAGCGUUGGGAAAGUUGUCGGCCAGGAAGUAUCUUCAUUCUCUCAUGGCCAAGCGGGUCGGCGGCAAGGCGCUGGACGACAGCGGCGAGCCGCUGUCCAAGCGUCACUCGGACGGCAUCUUCACGGACAGCUACAGCCGCUACCGCAAGCAGAUGGCGGUCAAGAAGUACCUGGCCGCCGUGCUGGGAAAAAGUUGUGUCGUUUAUCCACAGCAGACUCGAGGACGUAGAUUUGCGCGGCGUAGACUUUGACGCCCUCCUGGACGGGGAGGACUUUGAGGCUUUUUGGGGGGACUGGCUCAAACGGCUCCCCCCGAAAUUCCCGGCUUUGUGACACAGGAAGCGGUUUUAGCGGCUGCGCUACCUUGCAUCGACCUUUUUUUUUUUUUUUGUCUAAUUGCCCUGAUGGCUAUUUAAGAGGCCCUACAAUGCUGCAAACGAUCAGCUCACAUUUCCCCCAUCCCCCCC
RNA transcript from Syngnathus typhle (broad-nosed pipefish), 1388 nucleotides. It is a transcript of the gene named glucagon family neuropeptides-like, with no coding region annotated. The transcript has 9 exons. The record is from RefSeq and is a predicted model, not a curated record. Lineage: Eukaryota; Metazoa; Chordata; Actinopteri; Syngnathiformes; Syngnathidae.